RNAcentral lists this ribosomal RNA (525 nucleotides) under Triticum aestivum (bread wheat). Its description in RNAcentral is "partial small subunit ribosomal RNA". The record is from RNAcentral. Lineage: Eukaryota; Viridiplantae; Streptophyta; Magnoliopsida; Poales; Poaceae.
AUGUAUGAUGGCUCAGAAGCGGCAUGCUAUGAUCAGCUACGUUUAACCAAAAGAAACUUUCAUGAUUUUUGCACCAUGUUGUGUGAGAGGUGUGGUCUAAGCAGUAGUGUGUAUGUGACCGUGGAAGAAAAGGUUGCCAUGUUCUUGCUAGUAGCGGGUCACGGUCUGAAAAUGAAGUUGCUUCGAGGCACAUACAAGCGGUCGUUGGGAACUAUAAGCACUCACUUUUCCGCAAUCUUAAGAGCCAUUCUAUCUAUGCAUGGGGAGUUCAUUAAGCUUCCAGAUGCUAAUGUUCAAUCUCCCAAUGAUUACAAAUGGAAGUGGUUUGGUGAUGCACUUGGAGCACUAGAUGGUUGUCAUGUAGAUGUUUCAGUUCCUGUGGCUGCCCAAGGGAGGUACAGGAAUAGAAAGCAAGCUGUCACUACUAACAUGCUUGGUGUGGUCGACUCGAACAUGAAAUUUUUGUAUGUCUUACCUCGCGGGAGGGUUCCGCUUCUGACUCAAGAGUCCUCCGUGACUCCAUGA